Molecule: long non-coding RNA, 1227 nt
Filed under: Phasianus colchicus (ring-necked pheasant)
Lineage: Eukaryota; Metazoa; Chordata; Aves; Galliformes; Phasianidae
Description: lncRNA (ENSPCLG00000019701.1)
Source: RNAcentral
AUGGCCGACCGUACUGAAACACCACGUUUUAUCACCGAAAACGGGGUAAACACACGCGAAACGCGUCGGUAUCCCGCACAACCGAAGCGCGGAGCCGGGAGGCAACAAAGAAAAGAGAAACUAAAAGAGAUCUCCGGGCGCUUUGUUCGCGCGCCGCACAUAAACCACAGCGAUAAGGCGGACAGGAAAAGUUUCGCCCGUUCCGCAACGGCUCACACGGCGCUCCGGGAACGGCGGACAAAGCCCUGCCGGCACCGUCCGUCAGAACGCGGCGCCGCGGGGGGCGGGCAGGAGCGCAGCGAGGCGCAGCGCAACGCCGCGCAGCCCCGCACGACGGCGGCCGCUCGCCCCGGCUUCUGGUCUGCAAGCACGACCGCAGCCCGAGCCCUCGGAAGGGAAGCGGCGGCGGCCGCCCGGUCCCGCCCUCCGCACAGCCGCGCUCAUCACAAAGCCCCGCGCCGCCGGCGCUCCCUCGGCCCGAACAAAGCCCCCGCCCCGCUCCGCCCCGCCGCCGCCGCCCGCUCCCACCUCGGCGCCGCGAGCACACAAAGGCGGCCGGCCCGCCGCGCAGGCCCCGCGCCGCCCCGCCACAACAUGGCCCCCUCCCGCCCUCGCUCCCCUCCCUCGCCGCAGACAAAAGGGGGCUGGAAGGAAGAAGGGGGGCGGCCCGCCCCGCCCGCCCGCGGCCUACCCCCCGCGGCCCCGCCGCUACUCACGGGCUGGCUGGCGGCGCCGCUCGCCGCGACGGAGCCGGAGCCGGAGCCGGAGCCGGAGCGGGCCCUGGGACACCGCCGCCCGCCCGCCGCCCCCCGCUCCUCUCGGCGCCUCUCCUUCCGGCCUCCCCUCCCCCCCCCUCGGCCGCGAGGGGCUCACAACAACAUGGCGGGAGGGCGCGCGCGGAGGGAGAGGGAAAGCGAGAGCGCGGCAAAGCUCCCCCCGCCGCCACCGCCGCCGCUCGCCCCUGCCGCCGCCACAGCGCAUGCGCGCCCCGCGCCGGGAGGAGGCGGGGAGGCGGCCCCCGGCCCCUUCCGCCGCGCACCGCGCAUGCGCCGCCCGCCGGCGUCCGUCCUCCCCUCGGAGCGGCCCUUGCCGCCGGGCCGCGCGUCUCUGCUCUGCCCUCGGGCUGUGCGGCCGCCGCUGCUCUCGGGACGUUUUCGACGUUAUCGGCUUCCCAGAGGGAAGGCCGCGGAGCGGGGAAGGGCGCGUUGUUCAUACAGUCAACAGUAA